Molecule: non-coding RNA, 149 nt
Organism: Triticum aestivum (bread wheat)
Lineage: Eukaryota; Viridiplantae; Streptophyta; Magnoliopsida; Poales; Poaceae
Source: Rfam
GUUAUACUCCCUUCGUCCGAAAAAGUUUGUCCCAAGCUUGUCUUUCAAAUGGAUGUAUCUAGCACUAACUUGGUGCCAGAUACAUCCAUUUGUUAGUGCUAGAUACAUCCAUUUGAGGGACAAGUUUUUUCGGACGGAGGGAGUAUUUU